GCUCCCGUGGUGAAACGGAUAUCAUACCGGUCUUCGAAACCGUCGUUCCAAGUUCGAUUCUUGGCGGGAGCA
This 72-nucleotide transfer RNA is filed under the name bacterium. RNAcentral describes it as "tRNA-Arg". It matches the Rfam family "tRNA". From Rfam's summary of the family: Transfer RNA (tRNA) molecules are approximately 80 nucleotides in length. Their secondary structure includes four short double-helical elements and three loops (D, anti-codon, and T loops). Further hydrogen bonds mediate the characteristic L-shaped molecular structure. tRNAs have two regions of fundamental functional importance: the anti-codon, which is responsible for specific mRNA codon recognition, and the 3' end, to which the tRNAs corresponding amino acid is attached (by aminoacyl-tRNA synthetases). tRNAs cope with the degeneracy of the genetic code in two manners: having more than one tRNA (with a specific anti-codon) for a particular amino acid; and 'wobble' base-pairing, i.e. permitting non-standard base-pairing at the 3rd anti-codon position. RNAcentral also lists the same sequence under 1 other name. The record is from RNAcentral.